GACGAACGCUGGCGGCGUGCUUAACACAUGCAAGUCGAACGGAAAGGCCCUGCUUUUGUGGGGUGCUCGAGUGGCGAACGGGUGAGUAACACGUGAGUAACCUGCCCUUGACUUUGGGAUAACUUCAGGAAACUGGGGCUAAUACCGGAUAGGAGCUCCUGCUGCAUGGUGGGGGUUGGAAAGUUUCGGCGGUUGGGGAUGGACUCGCGGCUUAUCAGCUUGUUGGUGGGGUAGUGGCUUACCAAGGCUUUGACGGGUAGCCGGCCUGAGAGGGUGACCGGCCACAUUGGGACUGGGAUACCGCCCAGACUCCUACGGGAGGCAGGAGUGGGGAAUAUUGCACAAUGGGGCGAAGCCCGAUGCAGCAAAGCCGCGUGCGGGAAGACGGGCUUCCGGUUGGAAACCGCUUUCGCCUGUGACGAAGCGUGAGUGACGGUAAUGGGUAAAGAAGCACCGGCUAACUACGUG
Molecule: ribosomal RNA, 468 nt
Filed under: uncultured bacterium
Lineage: Bacteria
Description: partial 16S ribosomal RNA
Rfam family: Bacterial small subunit ribosomal RNA
Source: RNAcentral